AGCAGAAAGGCUUCAAAUCCUUCUACUGCAACAAAGAUAAGGACUAAUAAGAGCUGCUAAUUGGUCAUGUGAAAACAGCCCCAGUCUUCACAUCUUGCUGACAUCGGCAUCGGCAAGCAGCAAAGAAGACAACUGUUGUGACCGAGCAAAAUUCAACAAAGUUACAGUGCUUCUGAGUGUUGGGGUUUUUGUUCCGUGGAUUCACAUUUAAGACAGAUUCUGAGCAGAUGAAAGGAAAUGUGCCAUAAGUGGACUUGAAGAGAAAGGCAGAAUCGUUAUUCCAAAUGGAAUCUUCCACCACUCACCACAAGAGAAAAGUGGAGUUGCUCCCCUAUGAGGCAGGAAGGGAAGACCAGAGCUCCCUGGAAUCAACCCCUUCAGCUCUCCUCCAGCCGCACUGCAUCUCCUUCCUGGCGGAGGCCCCCCAUUCCAGGAGGGACCAGUGGCCACAGCCCCACCCUGCACACCCAGGAGACAGGGGGUCCGCUCUGCACUCCCAGGAGAGAGGGGUGUUGGGAACACGGAGCCCUGCUUCCAGAUGGACAAGGCCCCACCCUGCUCCCAGCCCCAGGCUCUGCGAACCCCACCCCUGCAUCCAGCAAGAUUUCUUUCUUUGUUGCACAAGCCAGUUUGAGGAAGGCCUCAGAUGUUCUCAUGUCCUGUUCUGGAGCACAUGCAGGAUCAUGCUCUUAGCAUUUCCCUGGGCUUUCCUGCCAGCAAUGAGGAUCCCUCAUCCUUCAGAAGCUGUCUGGGUGGCUGUCCAGGUCUUGCCUUCCUCACUCUCCAACAAGCGCUCACAUGUUACAUUAUUCUGCCCCCAGAAGGGCCAGUUUCUGAAGAAGACAGAGAAGGGAGUUUGCAACACUGCAAACAGAAAAAGCCCAGGAAGCUUCCUCGAGAUUGCAUCUACCUAUACAUUCCUUCCCUUGAUGACUUCUCUAUAAGUCUACACUUCCUCCAACCAGAUCUUUCCUCAAUAAAAC
Molecule: long non-coding RNA, 983 nt
Filed under: Vulpes vulpes (red fox)
Lineage: Eukaryota; Metazoa; Chordata; Mammalia; Carnivora; Canidae
Description: lncRNA (ENSVVUG00000004859.1)
Source: RNAcentral